AUGAAUGUGUGUGUGCAUGUGUGUGUACUGUGUUCAUGCGUGCCUGUUUGUGCAUGUGUAUGCACUGUGUGCCUGUGUUUGUGCAUAUGUGCAGUGUGCCUGUUUGUGCAUAUGUAUGUGCAUGUGUGUGCACUGUGUCUGUGUUUAUGCAUAUGUGUGUGCACGUGUAUGCAUGUGUGUGCACUGUGCGUGUGUCUGUGUUUAUGCAUGUGUGCACUGUGUGCGUGUGUGCCUGUUUAUGCAUAUGUGUGUGCACGUGUGUAUGCGUGUGUGCAGUGUGUGCCUGUAUUUAUGCAUGUGUGUGCAUGUGUGCACCUGUGUUUAUGCAUGUGUGUUUAUGAAUGUGUGUGCACAUGUGUAUGCAUGUGUGCUCUGUGUGUGCCUGUGCAUGUGUGCACGUGUGUAUGCAUGUAUGUACACUGUGUGCCUGUUUGUGCAUAUGCGUAUGCAUGUGUGUGCACUGUGUGCAUGUGUGCCUGUUUAUGCAUGUGUGUGCAUGUGCGCCUGUUUAUGCAUUUGUGCAAGUGUGUAUGCAUUUGUGUGCACUCUGUGCGUGUGUGCCUAUUUAUGCAUACGUGUGUGCACAUGUGUAUGCAUGUGUGUGCACGUGUGUGUACUGUGUGCAUGUGUGUGUUUAUGCAUGUGUGUGCACGUGUAUAUGCAUGUGUGUGCACUGUGUGCCUGUUUGUGCAUAUGUGUAUGCAUCUGUGUGCACUGUGUGCAUAUGUGUGCCUGUUUAUGCAUGUGUGUGCAUGCACCCUCAGAGCCCCCCUGGCCACACAAGGGAUGACUGAGGUUCACGUCCGUCUAGUGUAUCCACGAUGGGACAGUUCCUGCCCAGCCUCACGUACCACAGAAGAGCUCACAUCCAGCAGCAAAGCAAAGCUCAGGCCACAUCACCAGCUUGCUCAGAAUUCACAGGACGGGGUGAUUUCCUCCUUAAGUUCCUUAGCCCUGGGGACACUGUCUUCAAGCGGGGCUUUUUGCUCCACAAAGCCUGCCUCUGUGUGA
This 1011-nucleotide long non-coding RNA is filed under the name Callithrix jacchus (white-tufted-ear marmoset). RNAcentral describes it as "lncRNA (ENSCJAG00000056955.2)". Lineage: Eukaryota; Metazoa; Chordata; Mammalia; Primates; Cebidae. The record is from RNAcentral.